Molecule: long non-coding RNA, 819 nt
Filed under: Homo sapiens (human)
Lineage: Eukaryota; Metazoa; Chordata; Mammalia; Primates; Hominidae
Description: HSALNT0146844
Source: RNAcentral
CUGACUAUGAAGUGUCGCCCCUGAUGUUCUCUCUGGCAUCUCUUGCAGGCUGCCAUGCUUAGUGGUAAAUUCCCUCCCCUGGAGAGGCAGUCACAGCUGUGUGUCCUACGAAAGGACUGAGCUGCUUGCUGCGUGCAAAGUAGAAGAAAACCAGUGUAAAUCGCAGUCCUAAUUGCCCAUAUGGGAGAUUUGCAAAGAAGGAAGUGAGUACAAUGAAAGAGCAGGGCAAGUCGUAAGCAGAAGGCUGAGACCGGAGUGCUGAGGGAAAAGCAGCCACCAUAUCAAGAAGUUCAGAAAUUGUUUCUGCUACUGCUGCUGAGGAUUCAAAGAGGGUUUUAGAAUAAAACAAAGUCCGCUGGUGUGAGGACUGAACUCCAUUUUCUGUGUGAGUCUGAGUAAAGAGAAAGAUAAACAGAACCUUUCACCGAUAGGCAUAUUUUAGAGUUCAAGUGUGACAUGAUGUGUCCAAAAUAGAUUCCACAUGAUUGGAGCAGAUCCAGAAUCCCAGUCCCUGAAUAGCAAUCAGUGUUGGAAGCUAAGAGCCGGCAUCCACUAUCAUCACAUGAAACAUGGAAGAAACGGCAAAUCCUAUACAGCUGUUAGUGAGUAAGGACAAGCCAUACAUGGAGCUGUAUGCUAUGGGCACAUUUUCUUAAAUUACACAGCUUAUUUUAAAUUGAGGGUCUAUUUGACUUUUUACAUGUCUUUUAAUGAAUACCCAGACUUUACAAAACUUUCUUUUCAUGAAUUUUCCUUUCAAAGAAGGAGAGUUAUGCUCUUUGCAAUAUUCAAUCCAGGCAGAACUAAUGACCCAAGGGC